GGGGAUGUGGCUUAGUGGUAGAGCACUUGCCUCACAUGCAUGAAGCCCUGGGUUCAAUUCCCCCCCAGUACCA
This 73-nucleotide transfer RNA is filed under the name Dipodomys ordii (Ord's kangaroo rat). It matches the Rfam family "tRNA". From Rfam's summary of the family: Transfer RNA (tRNA) molecules are approximately 80 nucleotides in length. Their secondary structure includes four short double-helical elements and three loops (D, anti-codon, and T loops). The record is from Rfam by way of RNAcentral. Lineage: Eukaryota; Metazoa; Chordata; Mammalia; Rodentia; Heteromyidae.